This is a non-coding RNA of Biomphalaria pfeifferi, 241 nucleotides long. The record is from the annotation of a GenBank genome assembly. NCBI's taxonomy places the organism in Eukaryota, Metazoa, Mollusca, Gastropoda, Planorbidae.
AUGUGUUGGUCGGUUGUCGUAAAUGUGUUGGUCGGUUGUCGUAAAUGUGUUGGUCGGUUGUCGUAAAGCCAAUCUGUGUAUAUGGUCGACUGUUAACAAGGGUAUCAUGUGUCCUGCACAACAACCAACCGCCUUUAUUUCCCCAAUGUAAGCUCGUUAUUUAAGUGCACUCAUGAAGCUUCUAAAUGUGUACUCAAGGGGAUUCUAAAUGUGCAGUCAGGGGUGUUCUAAAUGUGCACUC